Molecule: transfer RNA, 67 nt
Filed under: Nebrius ferrugineus (tawny nurse shark)
Lineage: Eukaryota; Metazoa; Chordata; Chondrichthyes; Orectolobiformes; Ginglymostomatidae
Description: tRNA-Ser
Source: RNAcentral
GAGAGAGGUCUGGGACACAAAGAACUGCUAAUUCUUUCCUCCAUGGUUCAAAUCCAUGGCUAACUCA